This is a long non-coding RNA of Homalodisca vitripennis (glassy-winged sharpshooter), 414 nucleotides long. RefSeq lists it as uncharacterized. NCBI's taxonomy places the organism in Eukaryota, Metazoa, Arthropoda, Insecta, Hemiptera, Cicadellidae. The record is from RefSeq and is a predicted model, not a curated record. The transcript has 2 exons.
UCAAUUAUUGUACUAUAAAAGUAUGUCUUAUCUCAUGGCCUAAAGCACUAUAUGUUGUCUAAUCUUUUCGCCUUUAAUAUUAUUUUCUAUAUUUCAACCGUCACUAAAAUGAAUAAAGAAUAACAAACAUAUCAUAUUUUACUGUACAAUAUUAGUUUUCAUUUCUGCGUUUUUGGAGAUCAGUGUAGAUGCGGCUGGUUGUAAAAAGCACAACGAAGUAUGUGCUGGUACAUUUGGAGUGAACGAGUGCUGUAAAAGUGAACACCUUGUGUGUACGGUUCAACGUAAUACAAAAGACUCUUAUCGUUGCAGUAUCCAACCCAGAAGUCCUGUGACGUCUUAAAGUUAAGAAACAGAAAAUGGAUUUGAUGAAUAUUGUAAAAUAUGAUUCAAAUAAUAAAGUGCAUAAAUAAC